RNAcentral lists this ribosomal RNA (254 nucleotides) under uncultured bacterium. Its description in RNAcentral is "partial 16S ribosomal RNA". It matches the Rfam family "Bacterial small subunit ribosomal RNA", at positions 524 to 776 of the family's 1533-position model. The record is from RNAcentral.
UACGGGGGGAGCAAGCGUUGUUCGGAUUUACUGGGCGUAAAGGGCGUGUAGGCGGCCACCGCAAGUCAGUUGUGAAAUCUCUGGGCUUAACCCAGAAAGGUCAACUGAUACUGCGGGGCUAGAGUGCAGAAGGGGCAACUGGAAUUCUCGGUGUAGCGGUGAAAUGCGUAGAUAUCGAGAGGAACACCUGCGGCGAAGGCGGGUUGCUGGGCUGACACUGACGCUGAACUGCGAAAGCUAGGGGAGCGAACGGG